GGCAGAGUGCCUGAGUGGUUUAAAGGGUAGGAUUUGAAUCGUGAAGUAGCCUCGCUAUUUCUAUCGACAAUUACCCUAUGGGUUCGCCCGCGCAGGUUCGAACCCUGCCUCUGUCG
Transfer RNA from Drechmeria coniospora, 116 nucleotides. It matches the Rfam family "tRNA". From Rfam's summary of the family: Transfer RNA (tRNA) molecules are approximately 80 nucleotides in length. The record is from Rfam. NCBI's taxonomy places the organism in Eukaryota, Fungi, Ascomycota, Sordariomycetes, Hypocreales, Ophiocordycipitaceae.